RNAcentral lists this ribosomal RNA (377 nucleotides) under uncultured bacterium. RNAcentral describes it as "bacterial SSU rRNA". It matches the Rfam family "Bacterial small subunit ribosomal RNA", at positions 521 to 896 of the family's 1533-position model. The record is from RNAcentral.
UAAGACAGGGGUCUCAAGCGUUAAUCGGAAUCACUGGGCUUAAAGGGUGCGUAGGCGGCCUCGUAAGUGUUCUGUGAAAGCCCCCGGCUCAACCGGGGAACCGCAGGGCAUACUGCGAGGCUUGAGGUUGGUAGAGGCCGUUGGAACGAUCGGUGGAGCGGUGGAAUGCAUAGAUAUCGAUCGGAACGCCAAAAGCGAAGGCAAGCGGCUGGGCCAUACCUGACGCUCAGGCACGAAAGCGUGGGGAGCAAACCGGAUUAGAUACCCGGGUAGUCCACGCCCUAAACGAUGUGCACUGGAUCGGAGCGGCUCUGACGUCGUUCUGGUCGCAGAGAAAUCGCUAAGUGCACCGCCUGGGGAGUACGGUCGCAAGGCUA